Molecule: long non-coding RNA, 206 nt
Filed under: Elaeis guineensis (African oil palm)
Lineage: Eukaryota; Viridiplantae; Streptophyta; Magnoliopsida; Arecales; Arecaceae
Description: long non-coding RNA (EGUI_LNC013076)
Source: RNAcentral
UAGGACUAAUGAUUACAAGGUGGUGAUCAAGUUUAUCUAAUAAAAUAUUUUUAGUCGCUUCGAUAGUCCUAGAGCCAUCAUUAGUGAUGGAGGUGCGUACUUCACGAAUAAGCACUUCGAGAGCUUAAUGAGAAAAUAUGAAAUCACACACAGUUACUACUUCAUAUCACCCUCAAAUCAGUGGCCAAGUAGAAGGUUCCAACAAG